UGUCAUAAACGUAGAAUCAUC
This 21-nucleotide non-coding RNA is filed under the name Caenorhabditis elegans. The record is from RNAcentral. Lineage: Eukaryota; Metazoa; Nematoda; Chromadorea; Rhabditida; Rhabditidae.